This 202-nucleotide ribosomal RNA is filed under the name uncultured bacterium. Its description in RNAcentral is "partial 16S ribosomal RNA". It matches the Rfam family "Bacterial small subunit ribosomal RNA", at positions 1292 to 1500 of the family's 1533-position model. The record is from RNAcentral.
UUCGGACUGGAGUCUGCAACCCGACUCCACGAAGCUGGAUUCGCUAGUAAUCGCGCAUCAGCCACGGCGCGGUGAAUACGUUCCCGGGCCUUGUACACACCGCCCGUCAAGCCAUGGGAGCCGGGGGUAACCUGAAGUGCGUAACCGCGAGGAGCGCCCUAGGGUAAAACUGGUGACUGGGGCUAAGUCGUAACAAGGUAAC